CUGCUGCCCCUGCCCCUCUUCUCCCUCCUCCCCCUGCUCCUCCUGCUGCUGCUCUCAGUGCCGCUCUCGCCUCGCUCGCACACGGACGCUCCGGGGCCGGAGCGGGGAAGCGCAGGGCCGGAGCAGGAGCAGGGAGCCCCGCGGGGCGGCUCGGUCGAGAAGAAAGGGGCCAUUGAAGAAUAUCGUGCAGAGUCUCAAGCAGUUCCCGAAUUGAUCCCUCAAGGCUCAGGCUGGUGAGAGGGCAGCUUGGCUCAGAGGCAGAGCCUGGCAGAAUUUUUGAGGAACCUUUGAGCCAGCAGCAUGCCGCUUGAAAAGCCUUUCUCCUUCAGACACAUUCGUGCCUCGAAUCAUUACCAAAUAUAGCAUGUAUUCUUUAAAAGAUACUACUUUCCCUGCAUGAGGUAUCUAAAACUGUUGGAAAAAGCAAAGCUGAAAAAUACAAUGAUACCCCUUGCCAUAUGAGAGACUUGAUUAAAUUAAAAUGCCCCCACAGCCGGCCUUGGUGGCCACACGAACCUUCACUUUACUCGCCUGGGUAGGCGCAUGAGGUACAGCCAGACUCCUCGGGGGCACGGAGGUGUUCACACACGCACACGGCCAGGGGCUGGGCUCCUCGCACGCCGACGGCUGUGUGACGGACUGUGCUGGCAUGCCUGCAGUCAAGCAGCCUGUUUGCAUAUAGGAAGGGGUGUUCAGCAGGAUCGUUGUUAAUAACAGGAAGAUAUUAAAAGUAACCAAAACAAAGACAACAUUCCCUUGUCCAGAUGCACUGUGGGUCUCAGUUACUGUUCUUGCUGUCGUCAUAUCCGGCCGUCACAGAAAUGCUCUGUCCCAAUAUUUUGCCUCUGUCAUGUAGAAAAUAGCAUUACCGGCUCCCCUCCCACCAGGGCUCCAGACCCAGGCACCCGGUGCCCCCCCGGCCCCUUGCCUUGCUGCCCUGUUGCGCUCUGGCUGCUGUUGCAACACGGAGCAUUGCGGGGCAGUGGGUAAGGCAGUGGUGCAUGCCUUAGGCACACGCACUUGCGCAAGAAGCCCAGAAAGAGCCCAGGGCGGCACAUUUGUUUUUACAUUUGAAGUGAAAUUGUGAUAUAAAAACCUCCAAUUUUCAUGGUUUAUGGGGCAGAUCCUUCUACCAGGAAAGGUAGUUCCCAGGAAAAGCUUAAGAAUGAGUAGGAGAAGGAUAAAGUGCUUCCUCCUGCUACUUUUUAACCCCCUUGUUGCUGUGUAAGUUGCCUUUUUCCAUUCCAGGAAGCAGGCUCACAUUUUAGUGGCAGUUCUUGAUCUAAAAAAACAUUCUAGUUUAUUUCACACAAAGAAGAAGAAAACAUUUCUGAUUCAGUGCUCACACUAGAUAGUUGUUUUAGUCCCAAAAACUGUCAAAAAAGGAGGGAUAACUCUCCCUCCCUUUGUUUCUUUUCCACUUUCACCCAGUCCCUGGUCUACUUCCCCUGUGGCUGAUCUCCUCUCUGUGUUUUUCUCACAUAUCUUGUGAGAUUACUCACUCCGUCCAUCACCUGUGCAUUUGACACACAUUUAUUUUCCACAGGCAUUUGCUUCCAUGCUGAAGUCCCAAGUGAGCUCUGUUGUGCAGCACAAACCAGCUGUGUAUCAGGUGCCCGAAGCUGUGGUCACCUAUCUUGUGUGCCGGCCCUGCUUAGGCCUCUCUCUUCUCAGGUGUGUCCUCGACAUCCUUCCCUACUCUUCAGGUAGCGAUACAGCUUCUCCUUCUUCUAGCUCUUCUUCCAGUCAUGCACAGUCUCCUCCAGGAGAGGAGCCAGGUGUUUUGGGUUGAUGCAGGCUUUGCUGCAGGGACCCAAACCCUUCAGAGCUGGCGGUCCCAGCUGGGCUCCUUUGCUCCUUCCCAUCAGUGCUGCCCUGAAUCAUGUUAAGGCACAACAUUCACGAGGAAACAGCGACCCUUGAGCAAAUACCCUCUGCUGUUGCAACACAAGGUGUGAAAAGCAAGAUCACAAAUAUCACUGCGAUAAGGUAUUCUGCAUUUUGAUGCACAUUUGCUUGAACGCUCAGAGGUCCCAGUUCACCUCAACAGCUCUCUGACUUGCAGACAGCAUUUUGCCUUGGUGUUUCUUUCCCUCGUGUGUAAAGACUAACCAUAUAUAAGUCCCUAUUCAGGCCGAAACUGAAGGCUACACGAGCAAAUGGAUUGUUCAUCUACUGUGCACUGUUUAACUGCGGUAUGAAUUGAGCCCUAAGAAAAUGGCAGCCGUUCACUGGGAGUAGCACACACAGAAAUAGAUUAGGAGAGUCAUAAUAACAAGGUGCAAUGUAUAUACCAGAAAAGCCCAUGCUCUGGGUUGUGUGCAUCUGUUGCAAAAUAGCACUUAAAUGCUGCAGUGCUAGGUGGUUAUGCUGCUUGGUUGAAUGAAGGAAAAAAAUGGAGGGGAGGAGGGAAAGCAAACUGUCACCACUCCUCGGGUCGGAGCCCUGACAGUCUGCCCGCUCUGUUGCUCUGCGUGAGCACCUGAACGUUAUCACGCUUGCACUUCCAAGACAUGAAUACAAAUACAUCCCUUAGAUGCUGGCCAGCUGAUCGCUUCUGCCUUGCAAUAUUUUGCAUAUUCAUUUUCGUAUCCUGUUAUUAUAAGGCUGAUAAAUACAAUCCGGACAUUGAGGAAGCGGGAAGACUCAGCAUUCUUCUACACUGACACUGCAUUCCUAGAAGGUAAAUCUAGUUAAGGCAAGUCUUACCCCCCCUGCAGGAACUGAAAAAGCCCCUGCAUACUCUGAGUUUACAUCUUUGAUCCACCAGCUUUACACAUGGAGCACAGCAUGUCUCCCAUGGAAUUUUGCUGAGGGCUAUUUCACUCAUGCUGCCAGUGGGACCCCAGGAGGUGCAGUGUGCGUCUGUUACAGCUGCAGGACAAUAGCUGGGGGUCAAGAAAAUCAGAGGCAAAGGGGCAUCAAAACUAUUUUCUGACUCAUCACAAAAAGCAACAGAGGAAACAAAAUCUUUAAAAUCCUCUCAAGAUGUUUUAAUAUUAAAUAUUAAAAGUUAUACAGAUGUGAUACAAGUCGCUCACAAAUAAACAGGAACUUUGCAAGCAGCUAUUAGAAUACUACACAGUUUGUAGUAACACUACUAAAACCCCCAAAAUAUUGACAGUCUUCUCUUCUAACCCAGGGGUGUGCCAAAAUGCAAAAAAUAAUUCUGGUAACAAGACGACUUACAGGCAAAAUGGUCUCGCAACAUUUCCCAAGCUGUGAAUAGUGGAAAUGCAUUGGGAUCCUGCUUGUUCACAUACACCAUUUGAGCAGCAAACAUCAGGUUUAAAUAGCAGAUCUCACCACAGGAGAGAGACUCUACAGCUCCUGCUGGCCAUCCAGCAGCAGGCAUCUCCCAGCUUGGUCUCAAAGAACUUAAAAGAAGCAAAUGAAACCACAUAGCACACUAUCUAGACUCUUAUUAAUGAACUGUUUCUAGCUGAUGACAGUUUCUAGCUGCUACAAGUUGGAAGUCUCUGAGCAUGAACUGAUACUAGUCUUCUCGACUACAGAGGUGCAAAGAAAACCAGUAUCUUCUCAAAGGUCGGAGAGGAUUUAAUGCUGAACGCAGCGCUAACAGAUGAGCAGAAGGUAUAAUCCAUCUAUUUCACUGUUACAGUCAGACCAAGUUUGGGAUUUUGGGGGAAGCCUACCCAGGUCUUCCCUUUUCAACACAUGGCAAGGGUCCAAGCAUCUCCUACGUGAACUGUGUCUGCUGGUGUCGCUUUCUUAACUGCUAUACUGGAUUAGCCACUAGGGACUGCAAAAGUAUCCCAUUCCGUUCAAGGCCGUUCGAGCAGGCAAUGGCAGGACUACCAGAGUCAUAUCCAACUGGCCUUGCAGGGAAGAGCACCUCAGCGGGGCUGUGCCACAGCCAGCGUCUCAGUAAGCUGGACCAACAGCGGAUCAUCCUGUGAUGUCUUACAGUUUCUUAUAUCCCACCCCAAAGUUCUUGCUUCACUUUCCUGACCUACGAUACCUUCUUUCUGUUCCCUUCAUCCCUAGGUAUGCUUGGUAUUUAUAGAAGUUUUGCUUCUCUUUUCUUCAGCUUUUUUUAUUCUGUUUUCUUGUUCUCAGUAUUUCCACCCGAAGCUACAUGCUUUGUUCUCUCCUUUUGACAUGCACAUUCAGAACAAGCAGCACAACUGUGUGAGCUCUCUACUUGUCCCUGCACAACCAAGGAGAAGAGGGGCAUCGAGUAGAAAUGAAAAAAAGAAAUAGGGAAAGAGGUUGACUUGCUUGCAGCCACCGUGCUGCCUCUGAGCAAGGCUAGUACUCCCACGUGAGCCUAGAGCCACCAACCCACUUCAUACCAAAAGCAAUGACUUUAGCAACCCAAAUGUCACAAGGCUUUGCCUCCUCCUGCCUGACAUUCAGAUAGUGGAGGGCAUGUGGGAAAGAACUCACCCAUUAAAAUAACACCUUCAGCAGAUCUUUCCUGGGCCCGCUGAAACGCCAAGCGGCUGCAGUGCUUCCAACAGUUCAGCGCAGAAAAUACAUGGCUCCCUGGGAUAAAUCACCUUUGUUCCCAGCUCUUCUUUUUCUGAAGUCUGAUGAGUCCUGGUGGCCUCGGCAUUGCACCCAGCCCAAAGGGCAGUUCCAGCUGGCACUCUCCUACUGUGCCGUUGCACUGGGACCUGCCGGGAAAGCUCCCAUGUAAGGUCCCAGUUCCUCCACAUUGCUGGUGUGGGGGAGGUGGGUUGCUGCCUUUGGCCAGUGGUCUCCAUGUGCUCCUCAGAAACCCCAGGGAGAUGAAUGGGCCUUAUGAGCUCUUGCAUACACCGACCUUGAUAUGAUCAUGGGGUCGUAGACUUCAGGGGAAAAACAGACCAGUUCCUCCCUUCUACCCCUUCAGUCAAAGUAGUCUUAGAAAUUCCUUUUAAGAACAGCAAGCAAUUUUUCAGUGGCUGGCGUCUUUCAAAUACUGAGCAAUAUCAUGUAUUCAGAGAGUCACAGCAAGGUUUUUGUCUUGAAAAAGCUUAAUUUCCUGAAGCACAUAUCAAAAUCCCACCCUAUGAAUCCUUCCUGUGCAACAGAGCUCUCCUUGUUAAAAUUCUGCACAAGCAUAUUUCCUCCCCCCUCCCUCAGGUACCAUUCUCUCUGUGUAUACUACAAUAACAACUGCGCCUUUACUAAGAUUGAACACAAUAACCAGGUCUUUGUAGAGGAUAAUUAACAGCCAGCAGUGAAUCUUAGCGUUUAUUCAAUGGGGUAUGAAUGAGUUAUGAAAAUUCUUUUUUGCUGGAGAGGUAAUGGGAUAUUGUUACGUUUGCAUAUGCUUUUCCUCUUGCAUGAUAGCAUAUUUAUGGUGUUCAUAGUUUAAAGUCAGAAAUACAUACACAGAUAUUACGCGUUUGUAUUCAGGCAGUUAUGCCUCAACAUGUUUGCCUCUCUUUCUGUCAUUAAGGAAAUCCCCACUCCAUCUGCAUCUAAUCCAAAUGUCUCAUGUCCAUUCUGAGCAGGAUGAGUAGACCUGAGCCUCUCCAGCUGUUCCUAGAGAUGCGAAGGUUCAUUUCUGGAAUUGAAUUUCCACAGUCUUACGUAAACUGUCUAGAUUAGUGCCCUCACACAGGAUACUUCACAGAGUACUUGGAGCCCCCAAAAAUGUUGAUGUUCCAGAAGCUACUGCAGAAAUUGCCCAACUCUUGCCUGGCUGCGCAUUGCAGGCGCGCACAUGCAUCACCAGAGCAUAUCGAGACGCAACUGCUUAGGUGCAAUAGCCAGAUCGGGAUGUGAGGAGCUUUGUUGGCUGCUGUUACUUGGUUUUGCAUUGCUAAGCACACACGAAAACUUGGGAAUGCUGCCAGAAAAGGAGACUUUUGAUCUGACCUUGAGCCUGUGAAAUGGCUGGAAAAGCAGUAACGUGAUUGCUGGUAUGCCAACGAGUGUGCCAGGCAGCGUGGGCUGGUGUAGGAGUCCCAGCUGUAGAUGGGCCAUGACAGGGAGUUUCCCAUUGCCAGUCAGGGUUUGCUGAAGCUGGAAACAUGGCCGGCCAUACAUGGGUACUUCACACCAGUGCUCCUGACAAUGGACUUCACACCAUUUCUGUAAUUGUUACUGAAAGGGUGGUUUUUUUCUUCUCCCCUGCAACCUAAAAAUCCUGGUUCAGUCCAGCCAGUCAUUCACACUGAAGGUGUGUUUCCAAAGCGGCAAUCUUGAGAGAGGAUGGGGAAUAAAAACAUUGCAGCCCUCGUCUGCAGCGCAGCAGCCCUCAAAGGUGACUUCCAAAGGCAGCCCGUGAGCCUCUGACCUCCCCUGCCCUUUUAUCAUAUUUUAAAGGAGUCUUGAAUUUUUUUUCUUUGAAAACUAGCAGGGAUAGAUGAGAGGUUCUGCACGAUGGUUUGUUUAUUUGUUUGUUUUCCUUUCGAAAUGCAGGUCCUGUCUCUCCCGGAGGGGGUUCUGGCUAACUGGGCAACUAAUGAAACAAUAAUAUUGCCUGAGAUGAGGGAGUGAAAGUCAAGAGGGGAAAAUGCAUUUUUUAUUUAUUUUUUGUUUUUAAUCUGACUGCUUAGCAUUCCUUCUUCCUAGUUAACAUCUACUGGAGUUCAGUCAUCAACUGACAUUUUGGAGAAACAAGCUUUUUUUAAAACAUCCAAGAGCUCCACUCCUCCUAGCAAAGCCUCUGUACUAAACACACAGCUGCCAGCCCACAGAACAGCAUUUCAGGCAAGACUGGCAUUUAGUACUGUGCACAUUUGGGGGGUUAAACAAAGCAAAAAAAAAGGGAUUUGUCUUUUAAGUAUCUGUCUACUGCCUUUUUAACCAUCAUGCAAAAGAAAACAAUAUAAAGAAAAUACAAUUUGCUCUGUAAAUCACCUGUGGACAGCAGACAUGAUGAAUUGGAGAUGUUUAGUUCAUUUGCAGGGAUUUCUUCUAUGCAUGAUAAAACAUGCGCUCUGUAGUCCUUAGCGAACAUAUAUCCUGCACCGUGGUAUAAAUGAAUGUGUAACAUUUUUACCUGCUGGCCAGAAGGCCACUUGACAAGUACUGCACUUGAAAUCAUUCAUUGCAAAGACAAGUUAAAAAUGAGUCUGCUUCUGCACAGGUGCAAAAAAGCCACUCCUCGUACAGGAGGGUUUUUUGAUGUUAAAUUAGGUUCCAUAGACGAUGGAGGAGAUGCACAUAGUGAAUUUGUAACUAUGGGGAAGCAAAGCAUCGCUUCUGACCCAGGUGAAAUCUGAAGUGCUUUGCUGAUGUCCUCCCUGGCUCGCAGGAGGAGCCCUGUGGCCGUGGCCCCGCCGGCCGCACAGCUCCCUGCCUGGGGCUGACAGCGCUCCAGCACCUUUCCCGGCUCCGGCAGCCUCAUCACAGCGACAAACACAAACACGGAUUACUACACUAAACACGUCAGGCUAAGUCAAUAGUUUAAUAACCACUAUUAAGGCUUUUCCAAAUCCAUUUAACAACUGUAAAUUAUUCCAAAAUAAA
Aquila chrysaetos chrysaetos is the source of this 7431-nucleotide long non-coding RNA. RefSeq lists it as uncharacterized. The transcript is spliced from 3 exons. The record is from RefSeq and is a predicted model, not a curated record. NCBI's taxonomy places the organism in Eukaryota, Metazoa, Chordata, Aves, Accipitriformes, Accipitridae.